RNAcentral lists this transfer RNA (69 nucleotides) under Sphaerodactylus townsendi. RNAcentral describes it as "tRNA-Ala". Lineage: Eukaryota; Metazoa; Chordata; Lepidosauria; Squamata; Sphaerodactylidae. The record is from RNAcentral.
GGCGUGGCUUGGUGAUAGAGUAUCAGCUUGGCAUGCGGAAGGCGCUGAGUUCAAUCCCCAGCAUCUCCA